GACGAACGCUGGCGGCGUGCUUAACACAUGCAAGUCGAACGGAAAGGCCCUGCUUUUGUGGGGUGCUCGAGUGGCGAACGGGUGAGUAACACGUGAGUAACCUGCCCUUGACUUUGGGAUAACUUCAGGAAACUGGGGCUAAUACCGGAUAGGAGCUCCUGCUGCAUGGGGGGGGUUGGAAAGUUUCGGCGGUCGGGGAUGGACUCGCGGCUUAUCAGCUUGUUGGUGGGGUAGUGGCUUACCAAGGCUUUGACGGGUAGCCGGCCUGAGAGGGUGACCGGCCACAUUGGGACUGAGAUACGGCCCAGACUCCUACGGGAGGCAGCAGUGGGGAAUAUUGCACAAUGGGCGGAAGCCUGAUGCAGCAACGCCGCGUGCGGGAUGACGGCCUUCGGGUUGUAAACCGCUUUCGCCUGUGACGAAGCGUGAGUGACGGUAAUGGGUAAAGAAGCACCGGCUAACUACGUG
RNAcentral lists this ribosomal RNA (468 nucleotides) under uncultured bacterium. RNAcentral describes it as "partial 16S ribosomal RNA". It matches the Rfam family "Bacterial small subunit ribosomal RNA", at positions 28 to 507 of the family's 1533-position model. The record is from RNAcentral.